RNAcentral lists this unclassified non-coding RNA (257 nucleotides) under Hevea brasiliensis (rubber tree). Lineage: Eukaryota; Viridiplantae; Streptophyta; Magnoliopsida; Malpighiales; Euphorbiaceae. The record is from RNAcentral.
GAGAGAGAGAGAGCGAGAUAAGAGAGAGAUUCACAUGUGGGUUUACAUUUAUGGUUUGCAGUGAAUUAAAUUAGUCUUAAAAAUUUGAGAUGGGGAGAGUAAAUGAACGAAGUAUAAAUCUAAAUAUUUUUUGCAGUUCCUUAAAAUUAUGAUCUAAGUUGGCAUCACUUAAUUUUUCACUAAUAUUAUGGUUUGAAUCCAGCUAAUUAAUCCAGUUUUUGAGUUUUGCAUUUCUUUCUUUCCUUUCCUUUCCUUUU